ACCAUAUUCUUCAGGCGAGCUUCUUAGCUUGCAACUGAUGAUGUUCACCGUGUUCUUCAGGCGGGCUCCUAACUUGUUGUUUCUUCACCCUGUUAUUCAAGCGGGCUCCUGGACUUAUAAUUUCUUCACCCCUGUUCUUCACGCGGGCUCCUGGAAUUAUAAUUUCUUUACCCUGUUCUUCAGGCGAGCUCCUGGACUUAUAAUUUCUUCAUCCUGUUCCUCAGCGGGCUCUAGG
Molecule: long non-coding RNA, 235 nt
Filed under: Capsicum annuum
Lineage: Eukaryota; Viridiplantae; Streptophyta; Magnoliopsida; Solanales; Solanaceae
Description: long non-coding RNA (CANN_LNC005875)
Source: RNAcentral